This 460-nucleotide ribosomal RNA is filed under the name uncultured bacterium. Its description in RNAcentral is "partial 16S ribosomal RNA". It matches the Rfam family "Bacterial small subunit ribosomal RNA", at positions 338 to 795 of the family's 1533-position model. The record is from RNAcentral.
CCUACGGGGGGCAGCAGUGAGGAAUAUUGGUCAAUGGACGAGAGCCUGAACCAGCCAAGUAGCGUGAAGGAUGACUGCCCUAUGGGUUGUAAACUUCUCUUAUAUGGGAAUAAAAUGCUCUACGUGUGGGAUUUUGUAUGUACCAUAUGAAUAAGGAUCGGCUAACUCCGUGCCAGCAGCCGCGGUAAUACGGAGUAUCCGAGCGUUAUCCGGAUUUAUUGGGUUUAAAGGGAGCGUAGGUGGAUUGUUAAGUCAGUUGUGAAAGUUUGCGGCUCAACCGUAAAAUUGCAGUUGAGACUGGCAGUCUUGAGUACAGUAGAGGUGGGCGGAAUUCGUGGUGUAGCGGUGAAAUGCUUAGAUAUCACGAAGAACUCCGAUUGCGAAGGCAGCUCACUGGACUGCAACUGACACUGAGGCUCGAAAGUGUGGGUAUCAAACAGGAUUAGAUACCCCUGUAGUC